Molecule: long non-coding RNA, 1536 nt
Filed under: Canis lupus familiaris (dog)
Lineage: Eukaryota; Metazoa; Chordata; Mammalia; Carnivora; Canidae
Description: lncRNA (ENSCAFG00000053384.1)
Source: RNAcentral
AUGUACGGAGAGCCCAGCGGGGUCGGGAGCACCUGCAGGGACCUGCUACCUGGGGGGGGCGGGGGGGCACGGAGUAAGAGCCCAGAGCUGGAGGAGCAGCGGGGUCGAGAGCACCUGCAGGCCCAGCUCCGGGGGGGGGGGGGGGGUCACGGAGGAAGAGCCCAGAGCUGGAGGAGCAGCGGGGUCGGGAGAACCUGCAGGCCCAGCUCCGGGGGGGGGGUCACGGAGGAAGAGCCCAGAGCUGGAGGAGCAGCGGGGUCGGGAGCACCUGCGGGCCCAGCUCCGGGGUGGGGGGUCACGGAGGAAGAGCCCAGAGCUGGAGGAGCAGCGGGGUCGGGAGACCUGCGGCCCAGCUCCGGGGGGGGGGUCACGGAGGAAGAGCCCAGAGCUGGAGGAGCAGCGGGGUCGGGAGACCUGCGGGCCCAGCUCCGGGGGGGGGGUCACGGAGGAAGAGCCCAGAGCUGGAGGAGCAGCGGGGUCGGGAGCACCUGCAGGUCCAGCUCCGGGGGGGGGGGGUCACGGAGGAAGAGCCCACGAGCUGGAGGAGCAGCGGGGUCGAGGAGCACCUGCGGGCCCAGCUCCGGGGGGGGGGGGGGUCACGGAGGAAGAGCCCAGAGCUGGAGGAGCAACGGGGUCGGGAGCACCUGCGGGCCCAGCUCCGGGGGGGGUGGGGGGGUCACGGAGGAAGAGCCCAGAGCUGGAGGAGCAGCGGGGUCAGGAGCACCUGCAGGCCCAGCUCGGGGGGGGUGGGGGGGUCACGGAGGAAGAGCCCAGAGCUGGAGGAGCAGCGGGGUCAGGAGCACCUGCGGGCCCAGCUCCGGGGGGGGUGGGGGGGUCACGGAGGAAGAGCCCAGAGCUGGAGGAGCAGCGGGGUCAGGAGCACCUGCAGGCCCAGCUCCGGGGGGGGGGGGGUCACGGAGGAAGAGCCCAGAGCUGGAGGAGCAGCGGGGUCAGGAGCACCUGCGGGCCCAGCUCCGGGGGGGGGGGGGGGGUCACGGAGGGAGAGCCCAGAGCUGGAGGAGCAGCGGGGUCAGGAGCACCUGCGGGCCCAGCUCCGGGGGGGGGGGGUCACGGAGGAAGAGCCCAGAGCUGGAGGAGCAGCGGGGUCAGGAGCACCUGCGGGCCCAGCUCCGGGGGGGGGGGUCACGGAGGAAGAGCCCAGAGCUGGAGGAGCAGCGGGGUCAGGAGCACCUGCGGGCCCAGCUCCGGGGGGGGGGGAGGGGGUCACGGAGGAAGAGCCCAGAGCUGGAGGAGCAGCGGGGUCGGGAGCACCUGCGGGCCAGCUCCGGGGCGGGGGGUCACGGAGGAAGAGCCCCGCGCUGGAGGAGCAGCGGGGUCAGGAGCAUCUGCCGGUCCGGCUCCUGGGGGAGGGGGGGGUGUUACGGAGGAAGAGCCCAGAGCUUCCGGCGGACCUCAGCGCCCCCUCGUCCCCCGGAAUCCAGUUCCGCCCGGACGCCAACGCCACGAGAAACGGUUCCGCUCGCAUCCCAGCGCCCUCUCUCGCAGCGCAAGCCCCUCCCGCGUCGCGUCUCUUGA